Molecule: RNase P RNA, 391 nt
Filed under: Evansella cellulosilytica DSM 2522
Lineage: Bacteria; Bacillati; Bacillota; Bacilli; Caryophanales; Bacillaceae
Description: Bacillus cellulosilyticus DSM 2522 Bacterial RNase P class B
Rfam family: Bacterial RNase P class B
About the family: Ribonuclease P (RNase P) is a ubiquitous endoribonuclease, found in archaea, bacteria and eukarya as well as chloroplasts and mitochondria. Its best characterised activity is the generation of mature 5'-ends of tRNAs by cleaving the 5'-leader elements of precursor-tRNAs.
Source: Rfam by way of RNAcentral
AUGUUUGAGUAAUCGCUGCAUCUUUGAUGUAGAGGAAAGUCCAUGCUCGCACAAUCUGAGAUGAUUGUAGUGUUCGUGCCUAGCGAAGUCAUAAGCUAGGGUAGUUUGGUUACGACUGGACUAACGGCAGGGAACACACCUAAGUUUACAAUUGUAAAUAUGGUGUAAAUACCUUGAAAGUGCCACAGUGACGGAGUCUUUAUAGAAAUAUAAAGAGUGGAACGGGGUAAACCCCACGAGCGAGAAACCCAAAAUUAGGUAGGGGCAUCCUUAGGAAGGAAUUGAACGGACUAAGGAACAAGCAAUAUGCUUGUAGACAGAUGAUUACUGCCUUUUGUAUGAGGGCUGACACCCGUUUGUAGUACGAAGGUACAGAACAUGGCUUACAAAA